Molecule: ribosomal RNA, 373 nt
Filed under: uncultured organism
Description: partial 16S ribosomal RNA
Rfam family: Bacterial small subunit ribosomal RNA
Source: RNAcentral
GUAGGUGGCAAGCGUUGUCCGGAAUUAUUGGGCGUAAAGCGCGCGCAGGCGGUCCUUUAAGUCUGAUGUGAAAGCCCACGGCUCAACCGUGGAGGGUCAUUGGAAACUGGGGGACUUGAGUACAGAAGAGGAAAGCGGAAUUCCAAGUGUAGCAGUGAAAUGCGUAGAGAUUUGGAGGAACACCAGUGGCGAAGGCGGCUUUCUGGUCUGUAACUGACGCUGAGGCGCGAAAGCGUGGGGAGCAAACAGGGAUUAGAUACCCUGGUAGUCCACGCCGUAAACGAUGAGUGCUAAGUGUUAGGGGGUUUCCGCCCCCUUAGUGCUGCAGCUAACGCAUUAAGCACUCCGCCUGGGGAGUACGGCCGCAAGGCUG